UUUCUGUUGCACAGGGGAGCGUCAGUGUUAUGGAAGAGCUCUUUGAUAAGUUCAUGCACUCGUUCUGUGAAUCUGUGCAAGAUCAGCUGAAGUCGCUGGAUGUGUUACGGUAACGUCCUCACUGACACCACAGUAGUGAUCGCGUAAACAGAAGAUGCCUGCAGUGUUGGGAAGGUUAUUUUGGAAAUGUAGCAGUGUAACUAUAGCUGUUACUAUAUUAAAGUAAUGUAACUGAUUACAUUUGAUUACUUUUCUAAAUUCUACUUCACUUUUUUACUUUUCUAACGAAUGUUUUCAACUGUUAAUUAUUUGGCAAACGGUAGUACUCACCUCUGAUUACUGUCAGACUUUCAAAAUCCAUCAUCACUUGAAUUAGUAUUAUAAUAAUUUCAUUUUAAAGCACAGCCACCACAAAACCAGGCUUUACCACCUCUUUUUACUCUUGAGAUCAUUCUGAGGUUAAAUACCGAUUUAAAAUCAUAAUAAGAAAUAGCAAUGAUACUAUUUUUGAAAUCGAAUCUUUGCAUAGCUAUGACUGGAAACACUGGCAUCUAACAAUGUCUAGGGAAAAAAAGGUUAAUCUUAAGAAAUAAAGCAUAUACAUAAACCCAAAAAGGAAAUAAAACCGUUAUUGUAUAAGCAUUUGUCCGUAAACUCCUGAAACAUUGCAGUCACAUAUAUAGCAGUCAAUGCAAUUUGGAAAAGAAAUCAGUUAAAUCAAAUUCUUCUGGUUUUUCUCAGGCUCUAAAAUAGUUUAAAAAAUUGUGGAAAAUCCAGUUCUGUACAUAGGAUUUAUUGUUUUUCCAUGACAGAUCAUUCUGUUCCUGUGUUAUGGCAUGUGCACCAAGUAUAUUUCACUCAUACUUGCUCUUCUGUUAGCAGUAUUAGUGUCGUAAGAUCUGAUGUUUAUGAUUUCAGCCAUAUUCUUGGUGUUCCUACACAAGACUUGCUGAGAGUUCCAGCUCUCAAAGAUGAUCUUCAGGACAAGAUCAGAGCUCAGCUGCCGUACCUGCAUCUCCUGCACUGUUUCUGGCAGUCUACCUACGGCGUUGUGAGAGAGGCCAUUGAUGCGUUUGAGAAAGCUUUGGGAACGAUUACAAAGCUGGAGUUAAUUCACACCCUCUGGCUAGAGUAAGUAAAUUGUACAGUUGUGAAACCUAACUUAUUAUCAGUUGUUAUGUGUUUAUUACCACAGCAUUAAAUCAUCGAGUAGAUAUCAUGUUAAUCUGUGUGUCAUCCUCGCUGGGUGCAGAUAGUCGUGGUGUUUUCUCUCUUAACGGUUAGUCUCUUUUCCCCAGCUAUCUGUCCUUCGCCAGCAGUAAGAUGUUGGCGCCGCAGCCGAGUGUUCGCGAGCUGAAGAUGUUUACAGGUCUGGUGCACCGCUGUCUGGAGACUGUGCCGAGCAGACUCACCCUGCCCUUUAGCUCCUCACAAUACUGGAGCUGCUUCAACUUCCAUAACAAGGUAUGUCAUGAUGAAGCCUUAAAGCAGUCCUUCAUAUUUUUCAGCUCAUACUUUCAGCUUUCACCCUGAUGAUUUCAUGUAAAGCUUACGGACAGUGUAGAUGUAGUGUGUUUGCAUUUUGUGCUGUGUGCAUUGCAGGUCGUAUCCUUCUAUUUGGGUUGUUUCCCUCAAUCCCAACAUUCCCUUAUCCUGGAAAGACUUCAGCAUAUCAUGCCAACCAAUACUGAACUGGCCAUAAGGUAAACCAGGAGACUUGCUUGGAUUUAUUCUGAUGCUAAAUUAAGCUCAUGAAGAGCGCCAGUAUUUCCAAUUAUAUUUCUGAAUCUUUCCCUGCGAUUUGCCACAGUUUGUCUUUUUGUUACUCUAUACAGUGUAAAUAUUUCUCGUGCAUAAUUGUAAUCGUUGCCUGGCUCACUGAAGCUGUAAAAGUCUGUCGUCUCUAUAAUGGGGAAAUAUGUGAUUCUUUAACUUCUUUAGUAGGUGGCACUGGAUACAGUCACAGCUUCUAAAGACACUUUAAUGUCCUCGAGUUUAGUCUCAUUUGUCGUUGUGUAGGUUGCUGCAGCAAGAAUGGCAGGAUGGCAAUGUUGAACAUUUUAAAUUGCAAAGCAGAAUGUUGUGCUGUAGCGUCCCAACCUGUCUGGCCAUCUGGAAAAUGUAAGUUCAUGAGCUCCAAAUAUAUCAAGCUAAUCUGUUUCUGUGUGUCCGAAUGAGAUGAUAUUCUAAAGCUCUUAUGGUGUAGCUCUCCACUUCUUUUGCGUAGCUUGUUUUGAUGAAGAUAAGGCAUUCUGCGUCUAAAAUUUGGUCUUAUCCAGAACAUAAAAGAUUUUACUGUCCAGAUGUGCAAAAGUGUAAGGCGCAAAGACGUGCAGUUCUUCCUGUUGAACUUACCCUGGGGGUUCAAAUACAUUUGCAUGUCGUUCUUUUGACACGCAUCUUCAGUUUUGUAGUGGAUGGUGAAUGUGAUGUCCAUUGAUUUGGAAGCAGAAAUGAGGUGAAGUGUUUGACACCCUCUGUCGAUAUAUUUCUUGCCAGAGCUAUUGCUGUUGAGAAGGAGCAAAGGCAAAGAGCAGAGGUGAGUGAGAGGUCAGAGGUCAGGUCAUGACUUUCACAGUGGCCGAUGUCUCAAGUUUUUCUGCUUUCAUUCUGUCGAAUCUGUUGUUUUUUUUCUGCAGGGUAUGCUCAGUGCACGAAUAUGUAAGAGUUUAGAUGGCAUACCUCUGAUGAAGACCAAUGAGUGUGCUUUUGUGUGUUUGAGGAGGAGUCUGAAUGUUUGCGGUUGUGAAGAUUUGCGUGUGUCCGACUGAACUGACUGUGUGUUCCCGCUCUGGUGUGUUUGUGCUUUUAUCUGCACAUUUGCAGGUCCAGCGGCUGUAUCAGCAGGCGCUCCAGAAACUGCCUCUGUCUGCUGCUCUCUGGAAAGAUGUAAACAGCCUCUUUACCUCAAAUAUUCACUCCAGUGUCUUUCGCUUUGGACGCUGUCCUCACCAGUCCUUUUCUCUUUCCCUUUCUAGUGUUUGCUCUUUGAGGCUGCUGAAGGAGGUAAAACUGACACACUGAAAAAAAUAAUUGACAAGUGCCAAGAGGUGGGAGUGAGUCUAAAUGAGCCGCUAGGGUUAGAGCCGAGCCAAGCCGAGUGACACGAGCAGCACAUUCCCAGAACAAGAGUACGUGCUUCCAUUAAACCUCUACAGACAAGCAGACACGCACGCGUCUUAGCUUAGACCCGAGUCAGUAUUACUAGCAGAAAUCCAGUGAGGACACAAUGAGCUACCCAUAAUCCAGUAUGUGGGCCUCUUUUAUCAUCAUGUACGUAAGUAUGAAAAUGUUGACGAUGCCUGUUGCUUCCUGUUGUUUUUGAUUUGUGUGUUCCCAUUUGUACACUAACUUUUUUUAAUUUUAUUUUUAUUUUUCUUUAACGUUGCGUCAUAGUUGUUGACGGACUAUGACUGUUUUUAAGGUGGCUUGCUUCCUUCCUCUAAAUAUACAUCAGUUUAUUUUGUUUCUCAUGGUGUCUCAACCAUGUCUCGUGAAGAAUGACAUUAACUCAGCUUGAGAGUUUAAGGGCUCCGCACCAAGGUUUUUUUUUUUUUUUCUUUCUUUCUUUUUUUCUUCUUUUUUCUUUCUUUUUCUUUUUUUUUCUACUCCCCCUCCAACCAUGGAUUGAAAUGGCUGUUAUUGGAAGUAUUCUGUUUGGCUCACCGGUGUCAGAGUAUUGAUGGAAACUUCUCCACAGACUGCCAAAUCUCGCCGACACUCAAUAUGUCUGUAGUCGUGGACUGCACCAAAAGACAUCAUUAAACUGUUCAUGUAAUAUUGUUUCUUCACAAAUUAAAACAAAAUCCAUGUGUGUAUGUUUGUGUGUGUGUGUGUGUGUGUGUGUGAGUAUGCACACACAUACACACACACGCAUGUUGAUUAACGUAUUCUGCAGGAUUGAUACUGACACCUGUUUGUUUUUUCUUUCAAUUUAUAAUUGAACAAUGUUUCUAUUAAAUUAUUUUGUACAGAAAUACAGUGUUGCGUGUUAAUUUGGGGGGCGGGUU
Molecule: long non-coding RNA, 4010 nt
Filed under: Sinocyclocheilus grahami
Lineage: Eukaryota; Metazoa; Chordata; Actinopteri; Cypriniformes; Cyprinidae
Description: lncRNA (ENSSGRG00000009992.1)
Source: RNAcentral